Molecule: long non-coding RNA, 815 nt
Organism: Echinops telfairi (small Madagascar hedgehog)
Lineage: Eukaryota; Metazoa; Chordata; Mammalia; Afrosoricida; Tenrecidae
Exons: 3
Source: RefSeq, a predicted model, not a curated record
AUUUGGUCUCAGAAUUUAGGUUCCUGCCCUGUUUUUGUUGUUGCUGGGGUUUUUUUUUUUUUUUUGUUUUUUUUUUUAAUCGUUUUCAAAAGUUCUUCAAGGCAAGAGUGAAUUUCUGUGGAUUUUACUGGUCCCAGCUUUUAGGUUCUUUAAGACACUAACAGGACUGCAUAUAGAGGCUUUUCAGCAUUACUGUGCCAGUAUGUGCCCAGUCAGUGGCCAGAUACCAUUAGAAAUGAAAAUUACAUUUGAAAGCCAUUAGACUUCUAGUUGCUUUGAGCAUCUUGAGAGAGAGGCUAAUCGCACUAGAGAGAUUACAUUUUUUCCUUUUUCUAAUUGUUUAAAUCGAAAUUUUAUACCAGUGUCUCAAAUUAAUUGGGUGUUAGUUUGAGGUGGUGAAAGGUUGUUUGGGGAGUUUAUUGUAAUGGUUUUACUGUAAAAGGUGUUUCAAACUGUGCUGAGAUGUUGCUGAAAAAGUAUGGUGCUGGUAACAGUUCAACAAUCCGUGGCUGCUCAUUCUUGCCUACUUUUAUUCUCCCUCUGAAGCAGGUUAGCAUUGAAGGUGGUAUGGAAAAGCCUGCAUGCGUGUUCAAUUCUUUAUUUCUUCUUCCCUCUUCCUCCGCGUCCCCCUUACCCACCCCCACCCCCCCUUCGCUCGCUCAGCCUUUCUUUCAGUAUGUGUAACUUGAAGCUAAUUUGUACUACUGGAUAUCUGACUGGAGCCACAGAUACAGAAUCUGUAUUGUUCUUACUGAAACACAGCAUGGAAUUAACAUUAAACUUAAAUAAAACAAACCUAAAUUAAAAAUGCCAAA